AGCCUGAUGCAGCGACGCCGCGUGGGGGAUGACGGUCUUCGGAUUGUAAACCCCUUUCAGUAGGGACGAAGCGCAAGUGACGGUACCUGCAGAAGAAGCACCGGCCAACUACGUGCCAGCAGCCGCGGUAAUACGUAGGGUGCGAGCGUUGUCCGGAAUUACUGGGCGUAAAGAGCUCGUAGGCGGUUUGUCGCGUCGUCCGUGAAAACUCGGAGCUUAACUCCGAGCUUGCGGGCGAUACGGGCAGACUUGAGUACUACAGGGGAGACUGGAAUUCCUGGUGUAGCGGUGAAAUGCGCAGAUAUCAGGAGGAACACCGGUGGCGAAGGCGGGUCUCUGGGUAGUAACUGACGCUGAGGAGCGAAAGCAUGGGUAGCGAACAGGAUUAGAUACCCUGGUAGUCCAUGCCGUAAACGGUGGGCGCUAGGUGUGGGGUCCUUCCACGGAUUCCGUGCCGUAGCUAACGCAUUAAGCGCCCCGCCUGGGGAGUACGGCCGCAAGGCUAAAACUCA
RNAcentral lists this ribosomal RNA (512 nucleotides) under Dietzia papillomatosis. RNAcentral's name for it is "bacterial SSU rRNA". It matches the Rfam family "Bacterial small subunit ribosomal RNA", at positions 380 to 903 of the family's 1533-position model. Lineage: Bacteria; Bacillati; Actinomycetota; Actinomycetes; Mycobacteriales; Dietziaceae. The record is from RNAcentral.